RNAcentral lists this long non-coding RNA (2445 nucleotides) under Oryza sativa (Asian cultivated rice). RNAcentral's name for it is "long non-coding RNA (OSAT_LNC001574)". The record is from RNAcentral. Lineage: Eukaryota; Viridiplantae; Streptophyta; Magnoliopsida; Poales; Poaceae.
UCGCUCCCUGCCUCGCACGCCGCACCGAUCCUCCGCACCGGCAUUCCGGCAACCGCGCCUCCGCCUCUGGAACCUACCUGCGCCGCCUCCGAUGACUGCCGCCGCACCUCACCAUGACCGCUCCUGUGCUCCUUGUGCCGCCAGAUCGCACAUCACCGCUUGAGCCGAGCGGUGGCUCCCCCGACGACCACUCCCAGCGCCGCUCUCCCCCACGCCCUAAACCUCACCCACACCUCUCUCCCCCACCCCCUAAUCCCCUUUCAGCUCCGCAAGAUCGCAUAUCACCGCCUAAGCCCAUUGCCCUCUUACAGGGAAGGUAAUACCUGCUGUUUCUUCUCUUUUCAUUGUUUGUGUGCAAAUGUUGGAACAAAAUCACUGAUUACUGGUGCCUCUGAUUUCCAAUACUCGGAUUUCAGAUCAUUGCUCAAUUUCAUUUCAUUUGUCAAGGUUGGAAUUGCUGCGGGAUAAGUGAAGCCUCGACACGACGCACCCUCGUCUCAUUCCUCAGUUUACAGAGUCCAGUUCCAAAAAGGUAUAAUAUACCUCUCUUCCCCCAAGCCCCCCAAGGAACUUUUACGGUAUAAUGUACUACCAGUAUAUACUACUAGUAUUUACAAGGGUAUGAUAGAAAUAUGCUAAAAAUUUGUAAGGACAAUUUAGAAAUUCGUUCUUCAGAUCAAUCCCUAUCUGUUGACGCCGUCAUGUGACUCAAGCUCGCGAGUGAGAGGUAGAGAUGAGCCCUGCCGGCAGCGCAAUUCGUCCUUGUCGGCGGUUGAAUUCCUCGGUGUCCCGCUUCCCGCCAAAGUGAACAGUCACCAUCUCCCCGUGGCGGCAUGGCCACAUGCAGUCCCGCAUACUGGCGGCAAGCCGGCCGGCAAUGCAGUGCCCUCUGCCGAGCCAGAGUUAGAAUUAAACACCAUGCACACCCUGAAUCUGUGCAUGAAAAUGCAUACUUGUACAGCCUACAUAUGUCUAUUAUUAAUCUUUACCCUCUUCGUUCAUGCACUCCUGCAAGAAGGGUCAUGUUCUUACAAAUACUCUAUACCAUUUUAAUCUGAAGAAUUUAAUCUGAAGAUGGCCUUUGCCUGGGGUGAACGACGGGAAUGGGGAAUCAGAAUCACUAUUGGAUCUAGCGGGGGAACACCCGGUGCUUGUAUGCUAGAAUAUAUGGAAUACUUAUGCGCAAUAAAAUAGAAAGACAAAUAUGCCCUUUUUAAUUUUAUACUGUAAGUGGGUAGGUAAAUCAAUCUACACCGUUAGAUCAUUUAUAAUGGUAGUAUAUAUUACCAGUAUAUUGUACCGUAAAAGUUCUCUCUCUAAUAUGUUCUCUUUGUCCAUCAGUAGCCCUCCUGUUCUGAAGUUUUGUUUUUCAUUUGAUGACUAACCUGUUCUAAAGUGGUGUCUCUGAUUUAAUUACUGAGUACUGGUGUAGCCGAAUCACUGAUUACUGGUGUCUCUGAUUUAAUCUUUAUGACAUCAUGAAAUUUUAAUAGCACGAAUCUUAUAUAUGAAGCGAUCCUUAAAAGUUAAAUCCUACUUAGAGAUGAGAUUUUAGGGGGUUUCGGUGAAGUGACUCGUAGUUCUCAGGGUUUGGGAAAUCAUUGGAUUGUCGGUGAAGUAAUGUUCAUGAUGACAUAGAGCUCAGCUGCUAAUUUUGGUAAAAUAAACUGCAUGGUGAUGAUAUCUUUGAAGUUCAGGCUAAUAAAUUUCAUGAUGAUAUGCUCCAUUUAAAAACAGUUUAAUUUGGGUUGGAAAAUUAGGACAUUACAGCAAUUUGUCCUAUUACUUUUACUGGGCUGAAUAUAUACGAUGGAAUUGCUUAGCGAUUUGUGGUAUUAUACCUAUGGCCCUUCUCUCUCUUCCCCCAUCUCUAAUAUGUUCUCUCUGUCCAUCAGUAGCCUGCCUGUUCUGAAGUUUUGUUUUUCAUUUGAUGAAUAACAUGUUCUAAAGUUGCCUUCUAAGACAUUUUAAUCUGAACACACCCACAUAAUGAAAGAACAGGUCAAUUCGGUCAUUUGUCUGAAUUUAUAAAUUUGUUUUAAUUUCCUUUUUCGUUCACAAAUUUGUUGCUUUGCAAUCAAUAUAAUUUCAGACACAUAUUCAAGCUGUUAAUAUAUCAAUGACCACUACAUAUCCUAUAGCAACUGAUUAAAGCUUCUAAUAAUGGAAAUAUUUACUAAAAUAGUUUUCUUUUCUCAGCAUUGGAAAGUGUUAGGGCUGCCACACUCAGGUGCGUUGAGACUGAAUCUUGGAUAUACAUUACUGAAGAACUGAACUCUAAUUGUGAGUGCCUUUGUACUUCCUAUUCUUUUAGUCAUAAAAACUGCUCUGAUUGUUUUCUUUUUUUUUUCUUAAGAAAAAAAAUCUCAGGUUUGCACUUUAGAUUGCAUCUCAGGCUAUUUUUUUCCGCUGCUCUAAGUAAUUUGUUAUUAUUGCUCGUUGGUC